CAUAGGUAAACUUCUGGAAUCAUGCGAUGGAAGAUUCUUGAUUGAAGAGGUAGAAUAUAACUUGUUGAUUCUUGCAGGCUUGAUAGGCAGCGGCAGAGGAAGAUCACAAAUUGGCCUGUCCAUCAUAGCGGCCACAUCACAGCGUUCCAACACUGUUUGGAAGCGACACGGAAUGCUGGCCCUGUGGAGAUUGUGCCUCAUGACUUGGCCGCUUUCAACAACUAUCUCCAAUGGUUUCAUCAAAGCACGCGUAUCGAGUUAGUGAAGCACGCGUAUGAUGACGACAUCUUGGACGACCCCAUCGAGUUCGAUGAGGUUGCGCAAAGCCAGCACGACACCUUUGCUCGCAGAGGGAGAUCGACUUCUAUUGCUUCCGAGCUGAACUUCGUGCGGACGGAGAUCCAAAAAACAGCUGACGAGUGCGAGAUUAUGUGGGACCAGAGCGGGAGAGAUGAAAAGCCUGUCGGACUGUUGCGGCAUUUCAUUAAGAACACUGCACGAAAGAUGCGGCGGUUAGCCAACUUGCUAGGUUGCCGCGAAGGCGAAAUUCUUACAUCCUCCUCUUCUGAAGAGCGGGAGGUAUGGACUAUUUUGUUGCUGUCAAACAUGUUCUUACUAAUUUCAACUUUUGUAAUCUCAUGUGUUCAUGUUUGUGAAGAUUCCUGAGGA
Lolium perenne is the source of this 669-nucleotide long non-coding RNA. RefSeq lists it as uncharacterized. The record is from RefSeq and is a predicted model, not a curated record. NCBI's taxonomy places the organism in Eukaryota, Viridiplantae, Streptophyta, Magnoliopsida, Poales, Poaceae.